Molecule: ribosomal RNA, 741 nt
Filed under: Escherichia coli
Lineage: Bacteria; Pseudomonadati; Pseudomonadota; Gammaproteobacteria; Enterobacterales; Enterobacteriaceae
Description: partial 23S ribosomal RNA
Rfam family: Bacterial large subunit ribosomal RNA
Source: RNAcentral
CCUUGAAAUACCACCCUUUAAUGUUUGAUGUUCUAACGUUGGCCCCUGAUCGGGGUUGCGGACAGUGUCUGGUGGGUAGUUUGACUGGGGCGGUCUCCUCCUAAAGAGUAACGGAGGAGCACGAAGGUUGGCUAAUCCUGGUCGGACAUCAGGAGGUUAGUGCAAUGGCAUAAGCCAGCUUGACUGCGAGCGUGACGGCGCGAGCAGGUGCGAAAGCAGGUCAUAGUGAUCCGGUGGUUCUGAAUGGAAGGGCCAUCGCUCAACGGAUAAAAGGUACUCCGGGGAUAACAGGCUGAUACCGCCCAAGAGUUCAUAUCGACGGCGGUGUUUGGCACCUCGAUGUCGGCUCAUCACAUCCUGGGGCUGAAGUAGGUCCCAAGGGUAUGGCUGUUCGCCAUUUAAAGUGGUACGCGAGCUGGGUUUAGAACGUCGUGAGACAGUUCGGUCCCUAUCUGCCGUGGGCGCUGGAGAACUGAGGGGGGCUGCUCCUAGUACGAGAGGACCGGAGUGGACGCAUCACUGGUGUUCGGGUUGUCAUGCCAAUGGCACUGCCCGGUAGCUAAAUGCGGAAGAGAUAAGUGCUGAAAGCAUCUAAGCACGAAACUUGCCCCGAGAUGAGUUCUCCCUGAGACUUAGAGUCUCCUGAAGGAACGUUGAAGACGACGACGUUGAUAGGCCGGGUGUGUAAGCGCAGCGAUGCGUUGAGCUAACCGGUACUAAUGAACCGUGAGGCUUAACCUU